Molecule: small nucleolar RNA, 77 nt
Filed under: Salvator merianae (Argentine black and white tegu)
Lineage: Eukaryota; Metazoa; Chordata; Lepidosauria; Squamata; Teiidae
Description: Small nucleolar RNA SNORD102 (ENSSMRG00000013129.1)
Rfam family: Small nucleolar RNA SNORD102
About the family: snoRNA U102 is a member of the C/D class of snoRNA which contain the C (UGAUGA) and D (CUGA) box motifs. It is found within intron 3 of the L21 ribosomal protein gene.
Source: Rfam by way of RNAcentral
AGCUUGAUGAUGACAGUCUCCUAUGAUUGCUUUUGAAAAAGCAGGAUGAGUAAAUCAUUUCACCGGCACUGAAAGCA